This 253-nucleotide ribosomal RNA is filed under the name uncultured bacterium. Its description in RNAcentral is "partial 16S ribosomal RNA". It matches the Rfam family "Bacterial small subunit ribosomal RNA", at positions 524 to 776 of the family's 1533-position model. The record is from RNAcentral.
UACGGAGGGGGCUAGCGUUAUUCGGAAUCACUGGGCGUAAAGCGCACGUAGGCGGCUUCUUAAGUCAGGGGUGAAAUCCUGGAGCUCAACUCCAGAACUGCCUUUGAUACUGAGAAGCUUGAGUCCGGGAGAGGUGAGUGGAACUGCGAGUGUAGAGGUGAAAUUCGUAGAUAUUCGCAAGAACACCAGUGGCGAAGGCGGCUCACUGGCCCGGUACUGACGCUGAGGUGCGAAAGCGUGGGGAGCAAACAGG